AACGAACGCUGGCGGCAUGCCUAAUACAUGCAAGUCGAACGAUCACUUCGGUGGUAGUGGCGCACGGGUGCGUAACGCGUGGGAAUCUACCCUUGGGUUCGGAAUAACAGUUAGAAAUGACUGCUAAUACCGGAUGAUGACGAAAGUCCAAAGAUUUAUCGCCCAAGGAUGAGCCCGCGUAGGAUUAGCUAGUUGGUGAGGUAAAAGCUCACCAAGGCGACGAUCCUUAGCUGGUCUGAGAGGAUGAUCAGCCACACUGGGACUGAGACACGGACCAGACUCCUACGGGAGGCAGCAGUAGGGAAUAUUGGACAAUGGGGGCAGCCCUGAUCCAGCAAUGCCGCGUGAGUGAUGAAGGCCUUAGGGUUGUAAAGCUCUUUUACCCGAGAUGAUAAUGACAGUAUCGGGAGAAUAAGCUCCGGCUAACUCCGUGCCAGCAGCCGCAGUAA
This 449-nucleotide ribosomal RNA is filed under the name uncultured bacterium. RNAcentral's name for it is "partial 16S ribosomal RNA". It matches the Rfam family "Bacterial small subunit ribosomal RNA", at positions 29 to 523 of the family's 1533-position model. The record is from RNAcentral.